This 446-nucleotide ribosomal RNA is filed under the name Flabellum angulare. RNAcentral describes it as "partial 16S ribosomal RNA". It matches the Rfam family "Bacterial large subunit ribosomal RNA", at positions 1985 to 2456 of the family's 2925-position model. Lineage: Eukaryota; Metazoa; Cnidaria; Anthozoa; Scleractinia; Flabellidae. The record is from RNAcentral.
GACCCCGGUAUGAAUUGGUGUCACGAGGGUCUCACCUGUCUUAAGGAAAUUUCCAGUGAAAUUGAAUUUGUAGUGAAGAUGCUACAUCCAAAUUGUUAGACAAGAAGUCCCCAUGGAACUUUACUGGAGACUUAUGUGGCUUAAAUUAAUUUAUUUCUUACAAAUAAAUAGUUUUAAAAUGUGGUGUUAACCCCUCGGAUUAACUAGGGUUAUAAAAGCUCACUCUUUUAUUUAAAGAAAGCCAACUCAAAAAGUUAUGUCUUUGGGAUUUGAUAAGUGGGACAGUUUGGUUGGGGCGACCGCCUUUAAAAAAGUAACGAAGGCGGGCUUAAGAUACAUAUUUAGUGAUGUCUGACUGCCAAGGGGAGAUCCUGAGCAGACACUUACUUUUUAGGUGGGUUUAAGUGACCCGUUGAUUUAGGGUGAAAUAGUUAACGAUAAACAGA